Long non-coding RNA from Xiphophorus hellerii (green swordtail), 186 nucleotides. RefSeq lists it as uncharacterized. Lineage: Eukaryota; Metazoa; Chordata; Actinopteri; Cyprinodontiformes; Poeciliidae. The transcript is spliced from 2 exons. The record is from RefSeq and is a predicted model, not a curated record.
CGGAGGAAGAGAUGGAUGAUCAUCGCAGACUGCUGGAUUUCUCCCGGAGGCCCCAGAUAAUCUUACACCGAAUAGAUUGCCUGCAGUGUAACAUUUAUUACCAGGAGAGGAGAUCCACUCUGGACCAGGAGGAGUUGGAACCUCUGCAGGUGAAACAAGAACAGGAAGAGCCUGAAGAUCAUCAGA